AUUACUGACAAAAUUUUAUAUAAAAAAACACUGGUUUUUCAUUUAAAUUGCUUUUAUUUCCUUAAAGUUAUGUUAAGUCAAAAAUCUCGAAUCCCAAUUCGCAUUUGUGUGCACUUUAAGGUAUAAAAUAAAGGUGUGUACUUUGAGGGUUAAAUGUUUCUGCGGGAAACAUCAAUGUGUUAAAAUCAAAAACACAAUUAUAUAAAACAAGCUUAUUGUAACUAUCGCAAAUACGUAUAUAUAUACUGUUUAUUUCUCGCACGUGCGUGUCCCCUUAUGUGAUACUCUGCAUGAAUGUGUAUGGGAGCCAUCUAUGCGGCUAGGACGGAACGGAGAAUUUUCAAUUUAAAUCUUUUAAAGUAAUAAUAAUAAUAAUAAAUAAUAAUAACAAUAACAACAUUUAUAACAGAAAUGCGGAAAUCUUUUCGUGAAUUGACAACAAGGCAACAAUAUCGUCGCUUGCAAGCGUACGAAACUGAACAAGAGCAGGAAACAAAUUCUUCUCCAAAGAAUACUCUAGCUAACGUCCGUACCAAUGUGGAAUUGGUCUCUAAUUUUCACCAAUUCAUUGCUGAUAAUUCAGAUGAUAGUGACGAAAGUUCCAAUAAUAUUUUAAUGUCUCACGAUCGAGAAAAUAAUGAAAAUGAGAACAAUGGAAACUUUUCCGAAAAUACGUACGAUGAAGAGUUUUCUAUUUGGUUACGUUCGUGGAAAUUGAAACAUAACAUUUCACACAGUGCUAUGUCCGAACUUUUGAGUCAAUUGCGCAUAUGCGGCCAUGCCGAUUUACCAAAGGAUGCAAGAACACUGUUACGAACACCCAGGUUUAACUCUAUCAAGAUUUCAGCCAGCGGAGGUAGUAAUUUUUAUUACGGUUUGAAAAACGCUCUAAUUGAUCAAUUGACACGUAUUAAUUAUGAAGAUGAAAAUAACGUAAUUGAAAUAGAUUUAAAUAUUGAUGGACUGCCAAUAAGUAAGAGCAGCAAAAGUCAAAUUUGGCCGAUAUUGGGAAAGAUCUAUGGAAAUAAAGCAUUCACGCCUUUUGUUAUUAGUGCCUAUCAUGGGUACACAAAACCGAAAUCUUUAACAGAUUUUCUGGCUCCUUUCUGCGAAGAGUAUCGUGAACUUCAACGCACAGGAAUAGCUUUCCGUAGAAAAACUUAUGCCGUAAAAAUAAGAUGCGUAAUUUGCGAUAGCCCUGCCAGAUCAUUUGUUACAGGCACUAAAGCACACAAUGCCUUCUUUGGAUGUGGCAAGUGUAUGCAAGAAGGCACGUUUGAUAAUCAUCGCAUGCUUUUCUUAGACUUUGAUUCACCUCCUCGGACCGAUAAAAAUUUUAAAAAUAGAUUGCAAGAAGAGCACCAUAAUAAUACGUCUCCAUUGGAAUCUAUACUACCUAUGGUGUCACGUUUCCCUCUAGAUUAUAUGCAUCUAGUGUGUCUGGGAGUCACAAAGAAAUUAUUACAGUUGUGGACAAAUGGAUAUCAUACGUCAAAAUUGAGUGGUCAAAAAAUAACGCAGUUAUCUGACAAAUUAAUUGCUAUUUCAAAAUGGAUACCAAAGGAAUUUCCUCGAAAGCCACGAUCAUUGGAUGACUUGCCUCGAUGGAAAGCAACUGAGUUGCGAUUGUUUCUUCUAUACGUAGGACCAAUCGCUUUGCAUGGUAUUUUAUCGCGAGAUAAUUUACAACAUUUCAAUGUGCUACAUUGUGCUAUUCGCAUACUAUGUCAUUCAACCGAUUUCUUACACAACAAUGAAUAUAGCAGAGAUUUGUUGAUACAUUUUGUCAAAAUCUGUAAACAGUUGUACGGAGAAGAUUCGAUUAUUUAUAACGUACACAAUUUAAUUCAUUUAAGCGAAGACGUACUCAAAUAUGGACCACUCGAUAAUUUUUCUGCAUUUCCUUUUGAAAAUUACAUGCAGACAAUAAAGAAAAUGCUCCGAAAAGCUGAAAAGCCACUGCAGCAGCUGUACAACAGAAUCUCCGAAAUAAAUGCCGAACUUAAAAUUACUGACAACGAAUCCAUUUAUCCCAUACUGAAGAAGGAAUUUCGAGAAAUUCUUCCUGCAAAUUGCAAAAGAGCACAUCGUGUAAUUCAAUUCAAAGACUUUAUUUUGACAGCUAAGAAACCCGACAAUUGCUGUUAUCUAAAAGAUAAUACAAUUGUUGUUAUUAAACACAUUUGCUAUAAUGGAGAUACUGCCGUCAUAAUUGCAAGAAAGUUUUUAACGAAAAAUUCAUUAUCUUUGUACCCAUGUUCAUCGGAAAAUAUGGAUGUGUAUAUUGUAAACAAUUUAUCCCAGUUAAUGAUAUGGGCAGUUACCGAAAUUUCGAAUAAAGCUGUUCAACUUCCAUUCAGGGAAGACUCAUGGUGCUGUAUGCCAUUGCUACAUUCAUUGUAGCAUUAAAUUAGAAAUUAUUACUACCUCUACACUGUAGUACUACCUGAUGGCCCGCUAAUGAGAAAGAUGGCACCCGAUUGACUACGCGUUUCAACAUUUUAUGUUAUUAUUAAUGGAGUAUUACGUUUUAUUGUAUGAUAUGUACUGCAUAUCUGUACCAUCGUCAUGGAUCAAUUUCGAUCAAAGUACUUUCAAGAUGCCCAAAAAGCAUUCAGAAGUGUCUAAAGCGUGUUAUAAACAGCUUACUCCGUCAGACAAUUGGCAGGAACUGUCAUUCAAGAAAAAGUUUGGACCGUUUGAUACUUACAGUAAUGCACAGCAGUCGAAAAAACUGUGAGUGAAUUGUCAACAUCAAAUGAUGAAAACAUAUUUGUUUCGACAACCGUUGACAAACAAAAAAGAUUUAUUAGAAAACGAAAGUUUUAUGGCGACACAUCAACGGAUGAAGAUGAGCAAGAAAGGAAAAGAGAAAAGAAUAAGAGAAAUAUAAACGCGCCUUCUAAUUACAUUCCGCAAAAAAAAAGAGAACAUUUAUCUAAUAGUCAACCAAUUGAAAAGUCUGUUCCUUUUAUUGAGCCAG
Molecule: non-coding RNA, 2983 nt
Organism: Linepithema humile (Argentine ant)
Lineage: Eukaryota; Metazoa; Arthropoda; Insecta; Hymenoptera; Formicidae
Source: RefSeq, a predicted model, not a curated record